RNAcentral lists this ribosomal RNA (451 nucleotides) under uncultured Desulfobulbus sp. Its description in RNAcentral is "bacterial SSU rRNA". It matches the Rfam family "Bacterial small subunit ribosomal RNA", at positions 936 to 1382 of the family's 1533-position model. The record is from RNAcentral. Lineage: Bacteria; Pseudomonadati; Thermodesulfobacteriota; Desulfobulbia; Desulfobulbales; Desulfobulbaceae.
AGUAUGUGGUUAAUUCGAUGCAACGCGAAGAACCUUACCUGGUCUUGACAUCCCGGAGACCCUUAGGAAACUAGGGGUGCUUCCAUCUGGAAGAAUCUGGAGACAGGUGCUGCAUGGCUGUCGUCAGCUCGUGUCGUGAGAUGUUGGGUUAAGUCCCGCAACGAGCGCAACCCUUGCCUUUAGUUGCCAGCAGUUCGGCUGGGCACUCUAAAGGGACUGCCGGUGUUAAACCGGAGGAAGGUGGGGAUGACGUCAAGUCCUCAUGGCCUUUAUGACCAGGGCUACACACGUACUACAAUGGCCGAUACAAAGGGCAGCGACACUGCGAGGUGAAGCCAAUCCCGUAAAAUCGGUCUCAGUCCGGAUUGGAGUCUGCAACCCGACUCCGUGAAGUUGGAUUCGCUAGUAAUCGCGCAUCAGCCAUGGCGCGGUGAAUACGUUCCCGGGCCUU